AGAAAUUUAAGUUAUUUAGACUCUAAGCCUUCAAAGCUUACAGUAAGGGACACAACCCUUAAUUUCUG
This is a non-coding RNA of Petromyzon marinus (sea lamprey), 68 nucleotides long. The record is from Ensembl. NCBI's taxonomy places the organism in Eukaryota, Metazoa, Chordata, Hyperoartia, Petromyzontiformes, Petromyzontidae.